ACACACACACACACGCAAAUCUUAGGAAAAGGAAUCUGUGAAACUUUAUUAUUGCAUAUGUUUUUGAUCAAGCAAUGCAUUAACUCUCUAAGCAGCAUUAGUGUCCCAUGAGUGUUUCUUCCAGCAGUAUAAUGUCUGCCUAAUGCUAAUUUAAUCAGGAAUGUUGCAAAGCAAGGCAAAGUGAAAUGUUGAAAUACCUCCUGUCCCCACUGUCCCCUAGUGACCACUUUAUUUCAGUAGGAAUAUAUAAAUUCUCUUGAUUUGUCUCCUUUCAGGCUGAUUCGCCAAGUCUACCUGGAAGAAAAGACAGUAUUCCUUGAGCUCCAUGCCCUACUGGCACAGGAUAUAUGCUUAUACCAUUGUUUUUCUGUCAAUCAGCAACUUCUAAAGUGCUUUCUUUUUUUGAGACAGGGUCUCACCCUGUCACCCAGGCUGGAGUGCCAUGGUGUGAUCAUGGCUCACUGUAGUCACUGCAGCCUCCAUAUCUCAGGCGCAAGUGACCCACCUCAGCCACCUGAGCAGCUGUGCCAUCACACCUGGUUAAUUUUUGUAUUUUUUGUAGAGAUGGGGUUUCACCUUGUGGCCCAGGCUUAUCAUAAACUCCUGGGCUCAAGCAAUCUCCCCACCUCAGCCUCCCAAAGUGCAGGGAUUAUAGGCGUGAGCCACUGCACCUGCAGGACUUUCCCUAGUAUACAAGCUACUCUCUCUUGAAAAAAAAUAGCAGGAACCCAUUCCAAUGUGCAAGUUCCCCUAAAGUGCCACGUCAGAAUAACUUUCAUGUUUAAAAACAGCUGUCUUCACACCCAUUGUGAGGCUACAAAAGGAACAUUAAGAUGUCAAGCAAUUUAGAUUCUGUUAUCCAUUUCUCUAUGAAGAGAGAGAUGUGUUAAAAGUCUUUAGCUACUUGAAGGGUUGUCGUGAAAAAUAAGAAUUUUAUUCCAGAGGACAGGAGUUAUACACAGGGAGGUGUAUUAUUUACUUGGUGAUAAAUUUUGUGUAGGCUGUUUAAUAAAUUUAUCUGGUAAUGGAAUAAUCAGGCUUUUUGGUGGAAAGGUACAUGCAGAAGCUAAAUCAUCAUUCUGUUAAUAGUGUUUAAGAAAUUUCUUCAAUCCUGCAGCAGCGUGUCUUUCCAUUCAGCAUGACAGAUGCCUUUGUGUCCUUCGCCAAGGACUUCUGGCAGGUGGAGUGGCCACAGCCAUCUCCAAGCGAUAGCUCCCAUUGAGCCAGUCUAGCUGCUGCUGCAGGUGCAGCAUGCCAGCAAGCAGAUCAACGCAGAUAAGCAAUACAAGGGCAUUAUAGACUGCAUGGUCUGUAUUCCCAAGGCGAAGGGAGUCCUGUCCUGGUGUGGAAACCUGGCCAGUGUCAUCAGAUACUUCCCCACCCCGACUCUCAACUUUGCCUUCAAAGAUAAAUACAAGCAUAUCUUCCUGGGUGGCAUGGACAAGAGGACCCAGUUUGGCUCUACUUUGCAGGGAAUCUGGCAUCAGGUGGUGCUGCUGGGGCCACAUCCUUGUGUUUUGUGUACACUCUUGAUUUUGCCCAUACCCAUCUAGCAGCUGAUGUGGGUAAAGCUAGAGCUGAAAGAGAGUUCCACAGCCUCGGUGACUCUCUGGUUAAGAUCAACAAAUCUGAGGAGAUUAAAAGCCUAUACCAAGGCUUUAAUGUGACUGUGCAGGGUAUUACCAUCUGCCGAGCUGCCUACUUCGGUAUCUACGACACUGCAAAGGGAAUGCUUCUGGAUCCCAAGAACACUCAACAUCAUCAUCAGCUGGAUGAUCACACAGACUGUCACUGCUGUUGCCGGGUUGACUUCCUAUCCAUUUGACACCAUUUGCCGCCACAUGAUGAUGCAGUCAGGGCACAAAGGAACUGACAUCAUGUACACAGGCACGCUUGACUGCUGGAGGAAGAUUGCUUGUGAUGAAGGAGGCAAAGCUUUUUUCAAGGGUGCAUGGUCCAGUGUUCUCAGAGGCAUGGGUGGUGCUUUUGUGCUUGUCUUGUGUGAUGAAAUCAAGAAGUGCAUAUAAGUUAUUUUUUAGGAUUUUUCCCCCUGUGAACAGGCAUUUUCUGUUAUAUAACAUACCUUAAGCAUUCUUGACAGACUCCUGGCUGUCAGUUUAUCAGUGGCAACUAUUUACUUGUUGAAGAUGGGAGGCAAUAACAUUCAUCUGACCAGUUUUCUCUUAAAGUCAUUUCCAUGGUGAUGAUGAUGGCAGCCAAUUACAUUUUUUAUUUUAGUCACUCCUGAUAAUUUGGAGAAAUAAAAAUAUCUAAAAUUAAAAAUUCUUCAUUGAGAUAGAAUAUGGGCAAGAUGACCUUUAAGGUCCUUUUCGGUUUUAUCAUUGGAAAUCCCCAGAAGCAAUCUGAUAGUCUUAAAACUUUGUCCUUUCAAAGUCCUUUAUAUUCAUUUAGAGCUCUUCAGGAAACCAGAGAAUUUUGGGCUUUGGUUGACAAAAGGGUUCUGACCUCUGUUCGUAGCUGGAAACAUGAAACAUGAAAUUCUGGGCUUAAUUCUUCUGAAGAAAUCUUUAAGUGAUUACUAACAUAAAUGACAUUACUAACAAAUUUAAAAGCCCAUGAUGUAUUAAAA
Sapajus apella (tufted capuchin) is the source of this 2590-nucleotide RNA transcript. It is a transcript of the gene named ADP/ATP translocase 2 pseudogene, with no coding region annotated. Lineage: Eukaryota; Metazoa; Chordata; Mammalia; Primates; Cebidae. The record is from RefSeq and is a predicted model, not a curated record. The transcript has a single exon.